This 75-nucleotide transfer RNA is filed under the name Lactobacillus sp. RNAcentral describes it as "tRNA-Asn". It matches the Rfam family "tRNA". From Rfam's summary of the family: Transfer RNA (tRNA) molecules are approximately 80 nucleotides in length. Their secondary structure includes four short double-helical elements and three loops (D, anti-codon, and T loops). Lineage: Bacteria; Bacillati; Bacillota; Bacilli; Lactobacillales; Lactobacillaceae. The record is from RNAcentral.
UCCGACUUAGCUCAGCGGUAGAGCAAUCGGCUGUUAACCGAUUGGUCGCUGGUUCGAUCCCAGCAGUCGGAGCCA